Molecule: ribosomal RNA, 2064 nt
Filed under: human gut metagenome
Description: bacterial LSU rRNA
Rfam family: Bacterial large subunit ribosomal RNA
Source: RNAcentral
CAAUCGAACCCGGAGAUAGCUGGUUCUCCUCGAAAUAGCUUUAGGGCUAGCCUCGAUUUAGUCUUAUGGAGGUAGAGCACUGAAUUUCCGCGGGGGCGUCAAAGCUUACCAAAGAAUAUCAAACUCCGAAUGCCAUGUAGAUGAUGAUCGGGAGUCAGACUGCACGAGAUAAGUUGGGCAGUCAAAAGGGAAAGAGCCCAGACCACCGGCUAAGGUCCCAAAGUGCGUGUUAAGUGGAAAAGGAUGUGGGAAUUCGAAGACAACUAGGAUGUUGGCUCAGAAGCAGCCAUACAUUCAAAGAGUGCGUAACAGCUCACUAGUCGAGAGUUCCUGCGCCGAAAAUGUCCGGGGCUGAAACACGACACCGAAGCCGUGGACUCGCAAUGCGAGUGGUAGAGGAGCAUUCUUAAAACCGACGAAGCUGUACCGGAAGGAGCAGUGGAGGGAUAAGAAGAGAGAAUGCCGGAAUGAGUAGCGAGAGAAAGGUGGGAAUCCUUUCGGCCGAAUAUCUAAGGUUUCCAGAGUAAAGCUGAUCUGCUCUGGGUAAGUCGGGGCCUAAGCACAGGUCGCAAGACGUAAGCGAUGGAUAACAGGUUUAGAUUCCUGUACCACGCAUUAUCAGAACUGUAGGGACGCAUGUGGAAAGCACGAGCCGGGAAUGGAAAGACCGGUACAAGCGGGGUAGGUGUACAACAGGCAAAUCCGUUGUAUGAUCCGAAGACGUGAUGUGGAGCGAAAUAAAGUAGUGAAGCGUGUGAGCCAUGUGCCGAGAAAAGCUGCUAUUGUGUAAUGCGUGCCCGUACCGUAAACCGACACAGGUGGAUGAGGAGAGAAUCCUAAGGCCGACGGAAGAAGCAUUGUUAAGGAAUUCGGCAAAAUGACCCCGUAACUUCGGGAGAAGGGGUGCCUGCGAGAGCAGGCCGCAGAGAAUAGGCUCAAGCAACUGUUUAGCAAAAACACAGGUCUAUGCGAAACCGAAAGGUGAAGUAUAUGGGCUGACGCCUGCCCGGUGCUGGAAGGUUAAGAGGAGAGGUUAGCGCAAGCGAAGCUUUGAAUUUAAGCCCCAGUAAACGGCGGCCGUAACUAUAACGGUCCUAAGGUAGCGAAAUUCCUUGUCGGGUAAGUUCCGACCCGCACGAAAGGCGUAAUGAUUUGAGCACUGUCUCGACAAUGCAUCCGGUGAAAUUGAAGUACCAGUGAAGAUGCUGGUUACCCGCGCCAGGACGGAAAGACCCCAUGGAGCUUUACUCCAGUUUGAUACUGGGAUUCGGUACUGCAUGUACAGGAUAGGUGGGAGACGAAGAAGGAUGGACGCCAGUCUGUCCGGAGUCGCUGUUGGGAUACCACCCCUGUAGUACUGGGUUUCUAACCAGUUGCCAUGAACUGGCAAUGGGACAAUGUCAGGCGGGGAGUUUGACUGGGGCGGUCGCCUCCGAAAGGGUAUCGGAGGCGCUCAAAGGUUCCCUCAGAAUGGUUGGAAACCAUUCGAAGAGUGCAAAGGCAGAAGGGAGCUUGACUGCGACACCGACGGGUGGAGCAGGUACGAAAGUAGGACUUAGUGAUCCGGUGGUAUAAAGUGGGAUUGCCAUCGCUCAACGGAUAAAAGCUACCCUGGGGAUAACAGGCUUAUCACUCCCAAGAGUUCACAUCGACGGAGUGGUUUGGCACCUCGAUGUCGGCUCAUCGCAUCCUGGGGCUGUAGUAGGUCCCAAGGGUUGGGCUGUUCGCCCAUUAAAGCGGUACGCGAGCUGGGUUCAGAACGUCGUGAGACAGUUCGGUCCCUAUCCGGCGCGGGCGGAGGAUAUUUGAGAGGAGCUGUCCUUAGUACGAGAGGACCGGGAUGGACGGACCACUGGUGUAUCUGUUGUCGACCAACGGCAUGGCAGAGUAGCCAAGUCUGGAAGGGAUAAACGCUGAAGGCAUCUAAGCGUGAAGCCCCCCUCAAGAUGAGAUAUCCCUCCUUCGGGAGUAAGACCCCUUGAAGACUACAAGGUAGAUAGGGCAGAGGUGGAAGCAUGGCAACAUGUGGAGCUGACUGUUACUAAUAGGUCGAGGGCUUAAUCU